This 235-nucleotide unclassified non-coding RNA is filed under the name Hevea brasiliensis (rubber tree). The record is from RNAcentral. Lineage: Eukaryota; Viridiplantae; Streptophyta; Magnoliopsida; Malpighiales; Euphorbiaceae.
UUCUACGUUUGUAGUCAUCUCUCUAGCAGCAUGGGUUGUUCUCUACGAUAGAGCCAUCCUUCCCUUGGCAUCAAAAAUCAAGGGUAAGCCAGUGAGGCUUGGCGUUAAACUAAGGAUGGGAAUUGGCCUGUUUCUUUCCUGCGUAGCUAUGGUGGUUGCAGGAAUUGUUGAAAACAUUCGACGAAGAAAAGCAAUCGGGCAUGGGUAUCUAAACAAUCCUCAAGCUGUGUUGGGC